RNAcentral lists this ribosomal RNA (431 nucleotides) under uncultured bacterium. RNAcentral's name for it is "partial 16S ribosomal RNA". It matches the Rfam family "Bacterial small subunit ribosomal RNA", at positions 29 to 507 of the family's 1533-position model. The record is from RNAcentral.
AACGAACGCUGGCGGCAGGCUUAACACAUGCAAGUCGAGCGCCCCGCCAGGGGAGCGGCAGACGGGUGGGUAACGCGUGGGAACGUACCUUUUGGUUCGGAACAACUCCGGGAAACUGGAGCUAAUACCGGAUAAGCCCUAACGGGGAAAGAUUUAUCGCCGAAAGAUCGGCCCGCGGCUGAUUAGCUAGUUGGUGAGGUAACGGCUCACCAAGGCGACGAUCAGUAGCUGGUCUGAGAGGAUGAUCAGCCACACUGGGACUGAGACACGGCCCAGACUCCUACGGGAGGCAGCAGUGGGGAAUAUUGGACAAUGGGCGCAAGCCUGAUCCAGCCAUGCCGCGUGAGUGAUGAAGGCCUUAGGGUUGUAAAGCUCUUUUGUCCGGGAAGAUAAUGACUGUACCGGAAGAAUAAGCCCCGGCUAACUUCGUG